GUGUAGCCUGUGAGCUAUAUGGUCACCUUGGCAAGCCUUGAUGAAGCUGUAUGACCACUGACAUUUUGUCUGUGUGGUCUCUUGUAGGAGUCUGUAGUUUUCUGUGCCAUGCUGAUCCCGACACAUCAGAGAUGAUUUCAUGAAUAAAGGGGCAAGGGAGAUGUGAAAUGUGAAGUCUGAGUACCAGUGAAUGGAGAAAGGAUCAAGUUCUAGCAUGAACAAGACCUUUUUUCCAGCUGACCCCGUGCCUCAAAGAAAUUGGAGCAAGAAUAAAAGGUGUC
RNAcentral lists this long non-coding RNA (281 nucleotides) under Calidris pugnax (ruff). RNAcentral describes it as "lncRNA (ENSCPUG00000017063.1)". The record is from RNAcentral. Lineage: Eukaryota; Metazoa; Chordata; Aves; Charadriiformes; Scolopacidae.